GCCUGCAGAUCGUGCUCAAGUCCAUCAUGAAGGCCAUGGUGCCCCUGCUGCAGAUCGGCCUCCUGCUCUUCUUCGCCAUCCUCAUGUUUGCCAUCAUCGGCCUCGAGUUCUACAGCGGGAAGCUGCACCGUGCCUGUUUUGUGAACAAUUCAGGUCGGCCUCCUCUCCCUCCCCACACCCUUCCUCGGUCCUCUGGGUCACGUGGAGGUGUCCAUUCCUGCCCUGGCAUUAGGAUCACACCCAGCCUGCGGUCAGCAUCCACACUGGACAGAUUUUUUCAAAGCAAGCAGCCCACUAGGUGUGCGGUUGGGUGAUUUCCGGAGCAGGUUAGAGGGCCAUCAGGAUGUUGUGUCAGCACCCACAGGCCACUGAGACUGGGACCCCAGAAGCAGACGCAGGGCCCCACAGAUGGGAGACCUUGCUCUCCACACGACCCACGUGCUGGAAUUGAGGGCACGCAGUGCUCACGUGGAAAGUGGCCUGGGGGCUGCCUGGUCGAGGGGACCUUGUUUGUGGUCUCUAAGCUGAGCCGAGGGCCCAGGGAGGAGAAGCUGGGCAGGGGCUGUGAAGAAGGGGCUGUGCACUCCAGGCCGUUAGGAGAAGGGUCCCCACAGGAUUCCUGCACCUCGGACUCAUUUUUUGUUCAAGACCAGGAGUCUGUGAUGAGAACAGGACUUAGAACUGCCAAAAACCUCCCCUCUACCCAGGGAGAGCCAGGGCUUAUCCAGAGUCUAAAUCAGAGUCAAUGAGAUUCUGGCUCCAGCUGAGGGUCUUCCUGUGGACUGUGGGAGGGUGGAGGAGGGGGUGCAGAAGGCAGGUGGCCACGCCAGGAGCUCUGUGUUUCAGAAGAGACUGGAGGCCGUGGGGGAACAGUUGGCCAAGGAGCGAGGAAUCCGGAGAGGGAGGCUCAAGCCUGCUCCAUGGGGCAGUUGUGGCUUCCUGGGGUCAUUUCCAGCAUGGGAGACUCCAUGUGGUCAGUCCCACCCUCCACAUGUGCCUGCAGGUGUUCUGGAAGGAUUUGACCCCCCUCACCCGUGUGGCGUGCAGGGCUGUCCGGCCGGUUACGAGUGCAAGGACUGGAUCGGCCCCAACGACGGGAUCACGCAGUUCGACAACAUCCUCUUCGCGGUGCUCACCGUCUUCCAGUGCAUCACCAUGGAGGGCUGGACAACCGUGCUGUACAAUACCAAUGAUGCCUUAGGAGCCACCUGGAACUGGCUGUACUUCAUCCCCCUCAUCAUCAUCGGAUCCUUCUUUGUGCUCAACCUGGUCCUGGGAGUGCUCUCCGGGUAAGCAGGGCUUCCUUGCCCUCUGACCUCUUAGUACCACCCCGUUAGCUGUCAGUCAGGAGACGUCUCCUGGGGAGCUGUGUGUGCUGGGCGCUGUUCUAGAUGUGGGGACACAGCAGCGAGCUGUUCUCCCAGUCACCUUCAUCUUUCUCAGGAAUUAGAAUUCCCCAUGGACAGGGUGUCUGCUCGUCCACCCUGCGUUCGCUCUGGGCUGUGUGGGAGCCUGUGCUGGUUGUGGGGACACAGUGAGUGAGGGGGGGAUUCUCUGGGGAAAUGGACAUCAAAUCCCACCCAAGUCAGCCGGCACUGGUCUGCAGGUCCUCAAUGCCCAGUUUUGGGGCGCAGUGAGGGGCCCAUGUGUGUGCUGGGCGCAGUUCCUGCCUCAGCAAGCACAGUUUCCCUAGAAGACAACAGAAACGUGGACACGGGGGGAGGGGGUUCUCCCACUGGGCAGUGGAAGAUGCAGAUCUUGGUUUGGGAGCAUCUGUGCUCGGAGGCCAUCAAGGACCAUUGCUCCAAGAGCCGGGGUUUUCCUGGAGCAGGGAGUGUGCACCAGGGUGGCACAGACUCAGGAGCAGUGCCCCUAGCGAAGGGGAGAAACGGGGCUUGCCCCAGAAGGGCAGACGGGUGUACCCCAGGGACUUUACACGGGAACCAGACAUUCUCCAGGGGAUCGCGGUGCUUUGUGGGUCAUUUCUUGAAACUCCAGGGAAACAGGAAAUGGACUUUAAGCAGAGCAUGGGAGCAAGGGGAUGGGAGAGGAGCUGACUGACAAGGGCAGGACAGCUCAGGGGUUCCCAGGAAAUGCAGUGACGCCCUGUGGGGUGGCCACGCAGGAUGGCUGCAGUGGGUGUGUGUCAGCAGGCGCCAGGCUUGAGUGGAAUCCUUGAGUGAGUGUCCAGGGCCCCUGCC
Molecule: long non-coding RNA, 2201 nt
Filed under: Oryctolagus cuniculus (rabbit)
Lineage: Eukaryota; Metazoa; Chordata; Mammalia; Lagomorpha; Leporidae
Description: lncRNA (ENSOCUG00000036184.1)
Source: RNAcentral